GUAAAACUUCAGGGCAAGGUGAAAUUCCUGACCGGUGGUAAAGUCCACGAGCAAAGCUUAAUAUAAAGUUAUUUAGCUGCAUGAAACGGUGUAAUUCCGUUACCGACAGUAUAGUCUGGAUGAAAGAAGUGGUAU
This 135-nucleotide non-coding RNA is filed under the name Leptotrichia sp. Its description in RNAcentral is "FMN sequence". It matches the Rfam family "FMN riboswitch aptamer (RFN element)". Rfam says of the family: The RFN element is a highly conserved domain that is found frequently in the 5'-untranslated regions of prokaryotic mRNAs that encode for flavin mononucleotide (FMN) biosynthesis and transport proteins. This element is a metabolite-dependent riboswitch that directly binds FMN in the absence of proteins. Lineage: Bacteria; Fusobacteriati; Fusobacteriota; Fusobacteriia; Fusobacteriales; Leptotrichiaceae. The record is from RNAcentral.